CCUAUCCAUGGGCAGGUUGAAGUGGGGGUAAAACCCCAUGGAGGACCGAACCGACCCCCGUUGCAAUGGUGGCGGAUGACUUGUGGAUAGCGGAGAAAUUCUAAUCGAACUUGGAGAUAGCUGGUUCUCCCCGAAAUAGCUUUAGGGCUAGCGUUGGGAAUGAGUUUAGCGGAGGUAAAGCACUGAAUGAGCUAGGGGGCGCAAGCUUACUGAACUCUAUCAAACUAAGAAUGCCGCAUAAAUGCUUCCCAGCAGUCAGACUGCGAGUAAUAAAAUCCGUGGUCAAAAGGGUAACAGCCCAGACCCACAGCUAAGGUCCCCAAUACAUGCUAAGUGGAAAACGAUGUGAGAUUGCAUAAACAACCAGGAUGUUGGCUUAGAGGCAGCCACUCGUUCAAAGAGUGCGUAAUAGCUCACUGGUCGAGUGAUCUUGCGCGGAAAAUUUAACGGGGCUAAGCAUGUAACCGAAGCUUGGGAUUGCGCAAUGCGCAGUGGUAGGGGAGCGUCGUGUACGGGGUGAAGUACGAUCGAGAGGACGUGUGGACUGUACACGAGUGAGAAUGCCGGAAUGAGUAGCGAGAAUUAUGUGGGAAUCAUAAUGGCCGAAAAUCUAAGGUUUCUUGGGGAAGGUUCGUCCGCCCAAGGUAAGCCGGGAGCUAAGGCGAGGCCGCAAGGCGUAGUCGAUGCACAUACGGUAGAAAUUCCGUAGCCACCGAACCUUAAACCGGAAGGACACUUUCAGAUAGCAGAACCCAGCCGUUGGUAGAGCUGGGCGAAAGGGACUGAAAUAUAGUAGGGAAGUCUGCGAUGCUGAGAGGCGAGAAAAGCUCCGGUGUAUGCUAAGGUGCCCGUACCGCAAACCGACACAGGUAGAUGAGGAGAGAAUCCUAAGGCCAACGGGAGAAGGGUUGUUAAGGAACUCGGCAAAAUUACCCCGUAACUUCGGGAUAAGGGGAGCUCCCUAAGGGGAGCCGCAGAGAAUAGGCCCAAGCGACUGUUUACCAAAAACACAGGUCUCUGCUAAAUCGAAAGAUGACGUAUAGGGGCUGACGCCUGCCCGGUGCCGGAAGGUUAAGAGGAGAGCUUAGCGCAAGCGAAGGUUCGAAUUGAAGCCCCGGUAAACGGCGGCCGUAACUAUAACGGUCCUAAGGUAGCGAAAUUCCUUGUCAGGUAAGUUCUGACCCGCACGAAUGGCGUAAUGAUUUGGGCACUGUCUCAACAGCCCGCCCGGCGAAAUUGUAGUACUGGUGAAGAUGCCAGUUACCCGCAACUAGACGGAAAGACCCCAUGGAGCUUUACUGCAGCUUAAUACUGGAAUUCGGUAAAUCAUGUACAGGAUAGGUGGGAGACUAGGAAGCAUUGGCGUCAGCCAGUGUGGAGUCGCUGGUGGGAUACCACUCUUGAUUUGCUGGGUUUCUAACCUGCGGCCGUGAAUCCGGUCGGGGGACACUGUUAGGCGGGCAGUUUGACUGGGGCGGUCGCCUCCAAAAGAGUAACGGAGGCGCUCAA
This 1509-nucleotide ribosomal RNA is filed under the name human gut metagenome. Its description in RNAcentral is "bacterial LSU rRNA". It matches the Rfam family "Bacterial large subunit ribosomal RNA", at positions 729 to 2313 of the family's 2925-position model. The record is from RNAcentral.